UCUCAGCUUCUACACAUUUAUAGUACUUCUCCCCGUCCCCCGACAUCCCAAGCGCCAAAAGUCCAUCCAUGGGAGGAAAGCAAAGGGCCUGGCCAUCUCAAAGUGCAGCAGGUCAGUGUUCUGCUGCUGCAGCUGUUGUUUCCAUGGUGAUGGGUAUGCACUGUGGUAUGAAAACGCCCCCAGCCUGUGCCGGCCGUGGCGUGAGCGGGCGGAUGCAUCUAGUCUGGUCAGAGGGCCGCGACAUUGCGAUCUUGUGACAUCAGCGGUACCGGCGCAGAAAUCGGGAGCAGUGACGGGAGCACAUUGGUCUAUUAAAUAAGAAAUGAAGUCUCAGGUUGAGGAUCGUCUUCAACAAAUAUAUUCAGAGGAAGAUAAAGAUCACCCUAUUAAUACUGGCUUAAUCUUGGAGUUGAAAGCAGAAUUUGCAGGAUAAAAAAAACUCUUUAGGUGGGAUUGCCACACUCUCGAGGAUAAUGAAAUAGUGGGAUAAGGGGAGACGAGCCUGGGACUAAUUUGCCUAUUAGUAAGAUCCCAAAUGGCCAAUGAGCGGGAAACUACAGGGUGGGAAGAGACAUUCCGGGAACGAUGAGUCCUGGGGAGACACAAGAGGGAGGAGAGCGUCGACAAACCCAGCUCCUCAGCCUCCAACAGCAGCCCAGACCUUCCCUGCACCAGAGGCACACCAUUGAAUGCAAUGAGAGAGUUGUACUGCAUAAUAAUAUUUCCAAAAAUUAGGGAUUUCCAGUCUGCCGCCUCAAGAACCAUUGAUCAUCUUUUUGCGUCUGUUAUUGCUGAAAAUCCAUUUUAGUCACACUGCAAUGUGACUUGGAUGCACGAGUAGACUGUGAUGAUUAAUAUGACAGGCAGAAAUAGAAGUGUGUCUUUAAGACUCAUAUUCUCAGAAAGGAUCUCAGAGUUGGUUAAGUUUUGAUUCUCAUUAAACAUGCCAAGGACCUACUGUAUUCUCCAGCUGUACACUAAUACAAAUUAUCCUUUUCAGGGACUUCUUGUUAAUCCACCUGUUUAUAAAUUUCUGGAAAUUUCAGG
Molecule: long non-coding RNA, 1047 nt
Organism: Pseudophryne corroboree (corroboree frog)
Lineage: Eukaryota; Metazoa; Chordata; Amphibia; Anura; Myobatrachidae
Exons: 3
Source: RefSeq, a predicted model, not a curated record